This 391-nucleotide ribosomal RNA is filed under the name uncultured bacterium. Its description in RNAcentral is "bacterial SSU rRNA". It matches the Rfam family "Bacterial small subunit ribosomal RNA", at positions 28 to 420 of the family's 1533-position model. The record is from RNAcentral.
GACGAACGCUGGCGGCGUGCUUAACACAUGCAAGUCGAGCGGUAAGGCCCUUUCGGGGUACGACGAGCGGCGAACGGGUGAGUAACACGUGGGUGACCUGCCCUCCAGCUCUGGGAUAAGCCUGGGAAACCGGGUCUAAUACUGGAUAUGACUCCAUGACGCAUGUUGUGGGGUGGAAAGCCUUGUGCGGCUGAGGAUGGGCCCGCGGCCUAUCAGCUUGUUGGUGGGGUGAGGCCUACCAAGGCGACGACGGGUAGCCGGCCUGAGAGGGCGACCGGCCACACUGGGACUGAGACACGGCCCAGACUCCUACGGGAGGCAGCAGUGGGGAAUCUUGCGCAAUGGGCGAAAGCCUGACGCAGCGACGCCGCGUGAGGGAUGACGGCCUCGG